RNAcentral lists this ribosomal RNA (464 nucleotides) under uncultured bacterium. RNAcentral's name for it is "partial 16S ribosomal RNA". It matches the Rfam family "Bacterial small subunit ribosomal RNA", at positions 339 to 795 of the family's 1533-position model. The record is from RNAcentral.
CUACGGGAGGCUGCAGUGGGGAAUAUUGCACAAUGGGCGCAAGCCUGAUGCAGCCAUGCCGCGUGUAUGAAGAAGGCCUUCGGGUUGUAAAGUACUUUCAGCGGGGAGGAAGGGAGUAAAGUUAAUACCUUUGCUCAUUGACGUUACCCGCAGAAGAAGCACCGGCUAACUCCGUGCCAGCAGCCGCGGUAAUACGGAGGGUGCAAGCGUUAAUCGGAAUUACUGGGCGUAAAGCGCACGCAGGCGGUUUGUUAAGUCAGAUGUGAAAUGCCCGGGCUCAACCUGGGAACUGCAUCUGAUACUGGCAAGCUUGAGCCUCGUAGAGGGGGGUAGAAUUCCAGGUGUAGCGGUGAAAUGCGUAGAGAUCUGGAGGAAUACCGGUGGCGAAGGCGGCCCCCUGGACGAAGACUGACGCUCAGGUGCGAAAGCGUGGGGAGCAAACAGGAUUAGAUACCCUAGUAGUC